GAUCCUGGCUCAGGACGAACGCUGGCGGCGUGCCUAAUACAUGCAAGUAGAACGCUGAAGGGAGAGCUUGCUCUUCUGGAUGAGUUGCGAACGGGUGAGUAACGCGUAGGUAACCUGCCUGGUAGCGGGGGAUAACUAUUGGAAACGAUAGCUAAUACCGCAUAACAUUGACUAUUGCAUGAUAGUCAAUUGAAAGGUGCAAAUGCACCACUACCAGAUGG
Molecule: ribosomal RNA, 221 nt
Filed under: uncultured bacterium
Lineage: Bacteria
Description: partial 16S ribosomal RNA
Rfam family: Bacterial small subunit ribosomal RNA
Source: RNAcentral